This 253-nucleotide ribosomal RNA is filed under the name uncultured bacterium. RNAcentral describes it as "partial 16S ribosomal RNA". It matches the Rfam family "Bacterial small subunit ribosomal RNA", at positions 524 to 776 of the family's 1533-position model. The record is from RNAcentral.
UACGAACUGUGCGAACGGUAUUCGGAAUCACUGGGCUUAAAGGGUGCGUAGGCGGCUUGUUAAGUCAGGUGUGAAAUCCCCCGGCUCAACCGGCGAACAGGGCUUGAAACUAGCAGGCUUGAGUGAGGUAAGGGUGUGCGGAACUUCCAGUGGAGCGGUGAAAUGUGUAGAUAUUGGAAGGAACGCCGGUGGCGAAAGCGGCACACUGGGCCUUGUCUGACGCUGAGGCACGAAAGCUACGGGAGUGAACGGG